AUGCUGGAGGUAUCAGAAGUGCGAAUGCUGACAUAAGUAACGAUAAAGCGGGUGAAAAGCCCGCUCGCCGGAAGACCAAGGGUUCCUGUCCAACGUUAAUCGGGGCAGGGUGAGUCGACCCCUAAGGCGAGGCCGAAAGGCGUAGUCGAUGGGAAACAGGUUAAUAUUCCUGUACUUGGUGUUACUGCGAAGGGGGGACGGAGAAGGCUAUGUUGGCCGGGCGACGGUUGUCCCGGUUUAAGCGUGUAGGCUGGUUUUCCAGGCAAAUCCGGAAAAUCAAGGCUGAGGCGUGAUGACGAGGCACUACGGUGCUGAAGCAACAAAUGCCCUGCUUCCAGGAAAAGCCUCUAAGCAUCAGGUAACAUCAAAUCGUACCCCAAACCGACACAGGUGGUCAGGUAGAGAAUACCAAGGCGCUUGAGAGAACUCGGGUGAAGGAACUAGGCAAAAUGGUGCCGUAACUUCGGGAGAAGGCACGCUGAUAUGUAGGUGAAGCGACUUGCUCGUGGAGCUGAAAUCAGUCGAAGAUACCAGCUGGCUGCAACUGUUUAUUAAAAACACAGCACUGUGCAAACACGAAAGUGGACGUAUACGGUGUGACGCCUGCCCGGUGCCGGAAGGUUAAUUGAUGGGGUUAGCGGUAACGCGAAGCUCUUGAUCGAAGCCCCGGUAAACGGCGGCCGUAACUAUAACGGUCCUAAGGUAGCGAAAUUCCUUGUCGGGUAAGUUCCGACCUGCACGAAUGGCGUAAUGAUGGCCAGGCUGUCUCCACCCGAGACUCAGUGAAAUUGAACUCGCUGUGAAGAUGCAGUGUACCCGCGGCAAGACGGAAAGACCCCGUGAACCUUUACUAUAGCUUGACACUGAACAUUGAGCCUUGAUGUGUAGGAUAGGUGGGAGGCUUUGAAGUGUGGACGCCAGUCUGCAUGGAGCCGGCCUUGAAAUACCACCCUUUAAUGUUUGAUGUUCUAACGUUGGCCCCUGAUCGGGGUUGCGGACAGUGUCUGGUGGGUAGUUUGACUGGGGCGGUCUCCUCCUAAAGAGUAACGGAGGAGCACGAAGGUUGGCUAAUCCUGGUCGGACAUCAGGAGGUUAGUGCAAUGGCAUAAGCCAGCUUGACUGCGAGCGUGACGGCGCGAGCAGGUGCGAAAGCAGGUCAUAGUGAUCCGGUGGUUCUGAAUGGAAGGGCCAUCGCUCAACGGAUAAAAGGUACUCCGGGGAUAACAGGCUGAUACCGCCCAAGAGUUCAUAUCGACGGCGGUGUUUGGCACCUCGAUGUCGGCUCAUCACAUCCUGGGGCUGAAGUAGGUCCCAAGGGUAUGGCUGUUCGCCAUUUAAAGUGGUACGCGAGCUGGGUUUAGAACGUCGUGAGACAGUUCGGUCCCUAUCUGCCGUGGGCGCUGGAGAACUGAGGGGGGCUGCUCCUAGUACGAGAGGACCGGAGUGGACGCAUCACUGGUGUUCGGGUUGUCAUGCCAAUGGCACUGCCCGGUAGCUAAAUGCGGAAGAGAUAAGUGCUGAAAGCAUCUAAGCACGAAACUUGCCCCGAGAUGAGUUCUCCCUGAGACUUAGAGUCUCCUGAAGGAACGUUGAAGACGACGACGUUGAUAGGCCGGGUGUGUAAGCGCAGCGAUGCGUUGAGCUAACCGGUACUAAUGAACCGUGAGGCUUAACCUUACAACGCCGAAG
RNAcentral lists this ribosomal RNA (1689 nucleotides) under Escherichia coli. RNAcentral's name for it is "bacterial LSU rRNA". It matches the Rfam family "Bacterial large subunit ribosomal RNA", at positions 1270 to 2925 of the family's 2925-position model. The record is from RNAcentral. Lineage: Bacteria; Pseudomonadati; Pseudomonadota; Gammaproteobacteria; Enterobacterales; Enterobacteriaceae.